This 262-nucleotide ribosomal RNA is filed under the name uncultured bacterium. RNAcentral's name for it is "partial 16S ribosomal RNA". It matches the Rfam family "Bacterial small subunit ribosomal RNA", at positions 793 to 1055 of the family's 1533-position model. The record is from RNAcentral.
GUCCACGCCGUAAACGGUGGGCGCUAGGUGUGGGUUCCUUCCACGGAAUCCGUGCCGUAGCUAACGCAUUAAGCGCCCCGCCUGGGGAGUACGGCCGCAAGGCUAAAACUCAAAGGAAUUGACGGGGGCCCGCACAAGCGGCGGAGCAUGUGGAUUAAUUCGAUGCAACGCGAAGAACCUUACCUGGGUUUGACAUAUACCGGAAAGCUGCAGAGAUGUGGCCCCCCUUGUGGUCGGUAUACAGGUGGUGCAUGGCUGUCGU